UACUAGAGUAGCACUCGCAUAUCAAUAAGCGGAGGAAAAGAAACUAACAUAGGAUUCCCUUAGUAACGGCGAGUGAAGCGGGAAGAGCUCAAAUUUGAAAUCUUCAAGGUUCUACCUUGACGAAUUGUAGUUUAAAGAAGUGUUUUCUGUUGGAGUUUUGGUAAAGGUUCUUUGGAAUAGGACAUCAUAGAGGGUGAGAAUCCCGUAUUUGACCAUUAUCUUCCAGCUGUGUGAUACACUUUCAAAGAGUCGGAUUGUUUGGGAAUGCAGUCCAAAAUGGGUGGUAAAUUUCAUCUAAAGCUAAAUAUUGGCGAGAGACCGAUAGCGAACAAGUACCGUGAGGGAAAGAUGAAAAGAACUUUGAAAAGAGAGUUAAACAGUACGUGAAAUUGUCAAAAGGGAAGCGUUUGACACCAGUGUUGUUUUCUCGAAAAUCGAUUAAAAAUGGCCUGGAUUUUGUGUUGUAUUGACCUUAUCAAGCUUUCUUCACUCUUUUCUUGUCUUUUUUAAUGCACUUUUCGUUUAACAAGUCAACAUCAAUUUCUUUUGUUGUAAAAGGGUCAUUGGAAGGUGGCUUUCAUUUCGGUGAAAGUGUUUAUAGCCUUUGACUUCUGCAAUCGGAGAGAUUGAGGUCUGCAGCGUAGAUCCUUCGGGGUUAGAUACAUUUGUGCUAAGUUAUAGUUUUUCAUAGACAACAUGUUGACUAUGAUUAAUCAUGUAGCUUACUCGCUUAUGCUAUUUUACCUACGCUUAGGAUGUUGAAGAUGUAGCACAUCAU
This 778-nucleotide ribosomal RNA is filed under the name uncultured Neocallimastigales. RNAcentral's name for it is "partial large subunit ribosomal RNA". It matches the Rfam family "Eukaryotic large subunit ribosomal RNA", at positions 20 to 635 of the family's 3401-position model. The record is from RNAcentral. Lineage: Eukaryota; Fungi; Neocallimastigomycota; Neocallimastigomycetes; Neocallimastigales.